AGGAUGAACGCUGGCGGCGUGCCUAACACAUGCAAGUCGAACGUCCUGUCUCGCAAGAGGCAGGGAGUGGCGGACGGGUGAGUACCACGUGGGUCAUCUACCGUGAGGUGAGGAAUACCGGCGAGAAAUCGCCGACAAGACCGCAUAGGCUCGAUGCAAGUCGAGCAAAGCUCUUUCGAGAGAGGGAGCGCCACACGAGGAGCCUGCGCCCGAUUAGCUAGCUGGUGGAGUAACGGUUCACCAGGGCGACGAUCGGUAGCUGGUCUGAGAGGACGAUCAGCCACACUGGGAUUGAGAACGGCCCAGACUCCUACGGGGGGCAGCAGUGAGGAAUUUUCGUCAAUGGGGGCAACCCUGAACGAGCAACGCCGCGUGCAGGAAGAAGGUUUUCGGAUCGUAAACUGCUUUUCUGUGGGACGAGCAAGGACGGUACCACAGGAAGAAGCCCCGGCUAACUACGUGCCAGCAGCCGC
Molecule: ribosomal RNA, 473 nt
Filed under: uncultured bacterium
Lineage: Bacteria
Description: SSU rRNA
Rfam family: Bacterial small subunit ribosomal RNA
Source: RNAcentral